This 751-nucleotide long non-coding RNA is filed under the name Homo sapiens (human). Its description in RNAcentral is "HSALNT0180977". The record is from RNAcentral. Lineage: Eukaryota; Metazoa; Chordata; Mammalia; Primates; Hominidae.
GUCUUUAGACGCAGUCUGCCUUCCUUCCCAAUUUAACAGUGCCACAAUUCCUGUGUCACCUGGGAUUUUCCUCCUCAACCAGGUGAAGGAAAAUGGAAGCUGGAAAACCUGCCCUUUCCCAUCUUCUGAGCUUGGAGGCAAGCACAGAGGCUCUUUUCUCUUUAAAAGGUUUUACUCCUUGUCAUUUGGAAAAUAGACAAGGGGAAAUUAUAAAAGCUUCAGAAAACUUGUUAAUAUCCUGGACAUUUCUUGCCAAGGCUUCUUCCUAUACAUAUACACAAAAAUAUGUUUUAUGGAAAUGGGAAUUACAGGUUUUCCCCUGUGAAUUGCAGGAAACUUGCUCUAAAGAAAAAUUGCUGGAUUAAGGGAUGUGAAUAUUUUAGCAGUGCUUGACACUUAGCCAAAUUGCCUUCCAGAAGUGAUGAAACAACUUACCCUCCCACAGGCAGCUCAUGAAACCUCCUGUCUCACCAAACUAGGUAUUGGAAUUCUAAAAAGAAAAUAAAGCUGUUUGCCAAUUUGAGAGUCUCUGUUGAUUUACUUGGGCAUUUCUCACCUUCCUGUCAGAGGGCCAGGUGGGAGCUCCUGGUUAGGAGGAAGGAGGGGCCUUAGGCACCAGGCCUAGGGAGGGCAGCCAGGAGCUAUAGUGGGAGGAGGCACAAGGCAUUUCCAAGACCACAGCUGAGCAGGAGAAUGAGCACUCCUCUGUAUCCAAAAGAAUUGAGAGAGCUGGCCCAGGGGUGGGGGUGAG